AGUUAAGCUUGUUUUCGUGAGAGGUGUUGGUGCAGUCUACGUUUUCGACCAGUCUGGAGACGAAGCUAAUUUGAUUAAUCAGAUGGUGUCCGAUCGGAGUAAAACCGGUGGCUACGGAUAUAGGACAUCUAGGGCUACAUUCGGACCGGAGGGAUUGAAAAGUUAACGGUCAGUUCUUGAGUUAUGCAUCUGUUUUCUCUAGUGUUCAGUUUUGGCAGAAUCAUCAUACUCAUUUAUUUUCAGACUUUCGGAGUUGCUGUGAUAGAGCCAUCAAGGGCUAUUCUGUGCUUCUCAGGUUCUUUAGAACCCGUGGCAAAGGUGAGGGUCUAUGCCGUAAAUCCCGUACCAGUGUAGAAUUCUUGCUAUGUUAGUUUAGAUUUCGAAUCAUGAUCCGUCUGUUUGAAUUGAGUCUGUUUGAGUCUUGAUUGUUAGUUAGUCAUUCAUUGUAAAUUGGAACUAGGGGUCUAGAGGAUUCAACCGUUGGUUUGAUUGUGUGAUGUUAAGAAAUGCGAUAUAUAUGUAUGUAUACAUAGUUAUGAGUAGGGACUAUGUGAGUGGGCGGGGGUCCAGAGAUGUCUGGACUAGCGACGCAGCUUUGGAGGGCGGGGGCUCAGAGACGUCUGGGCUAGCGAUGCAAAUUGUGUGGGGCGUGGGUGCAGAGACGUUUGCAUUCGACGCAGCUUUGGAGGGCGGGGGUACAGAGACAGACUGUACUAGCGACGCAGCGUAUGUAUAUAUAUAUCCGUAUGAGGAGAUGCGGGGUGUAUGGACUAGCUAUAUGCUAUCAUCGCAUUGCUUGCGUUGUGUGAUGCUUUAGGCGUUUUGUUUGUUCAUGUUAGAGCUAAACUUCCAUAGUGGGAGUUCUAUUACUCAAGUCAGUGGUUUGCGUGUUUAGCAUCCCCAUACCUCACGGAGUAACUCCCCUGUUGCUCACCCCUCUUCUUCCCCUUGCAGGUGCGCUUGCCGAGUGUUGGAUAUCUGGACGGUUUGAUGUCUUUGGGAUAAUUUAUUUAUUUCGGUUUUGAUUACUAAUUUAUACGAAUAUUAGAUUCGAUUUAUUUUGAUAUAUUUUUAUACUUCAAUUUAAAAAUAUAUUUCUUUGAAAAUUAUUUUAUUAAGUGUUAUGUUAUUUUGUUCGAUUUUGAAUAAUUCGGUUUGAUUCGAUAUUUCACCGUAAGUAACACGCCGUUCUCCAUAUAGGAGGUGAUGGGUGUUAUAAUUUGGUAUCAGAGCGGGGUUCCGUCACGGCACUGACCCGAGAUGGCGAUUUGUUGGGACGUGGUUUCGACUCGGUUUUAAUUCGGUUUAAUCGGUUUUUAAAGAUUUUUAAUUAUGGGGUUUUGGGAGUUUAAAAAAAAAGAAAAAUACAGCACCUUUCCGUUCAGAAACUUCUAACCCAAGUGUCUUUUUAUUGACAAUGAGUUUAUCAUCGUCAUCCGUUCUCUAGCUAACAGGGUUUCAGCCAGAUGUUCGACAGAUGGAUGAUGUCACAGCUCGACUGAUUGCUUAGGUGUGUAUCAGUUUCGUCAGCCGUGUUCAGAGAUUGUCUGCAUAUGGAUAUUCGACAUUGUUGCCACCACCCUAACUUCAAGCCAUCGCUCCAAGAGUUUUUGUUAUUGGAGAUUAUGUGGUAUGAGAUGUGAGCCAUGAGUUGGCAUGUGUUAUUUGUGUGUAUGAGUAUAUUUACUUCCUUGGAGGCAUGGUUAUUUUGUAAACUCGGGGGAUCACUUUUGGAUUGGGGUGCGACAACUUGCGUUGUGUGAUAUUGGACUUACGCUUGGUAUGUUUUCCAGUUUUUGACAGUGUUGAUCAUUUCAGAGAUGUGUCAGUUCGGACAGCUGACAUAGGAACGUUGGGGGCUAUUUAUAUUGAUUGCGGUGUACUAGUUAUCCUUGGAGGGCCAAUUGGUUCAGAGAAUCAUCAGAGAUGGAGUUGUGUUUUGCGAUGUCAUUCUUGGGAUGGAUUUGUUAUCACGACAUCAAGUAUUGUUGGAUUGCAUGAGGGUAAGAGUUCAUAUUUCUGGAGCAGAGCAGAUUUUAUUUGCAUACAUGCUACAUGCAGAGGAGUUAUUAGAUAUGGGGAGUAAAUGGAUUUUGGUGAUCAUUUCGAUGGUCAACAUGAAUUGCAGGAUGUUCCAGUUAUCUCAGAGUAUGGAGAUGUAUUUUAGGCCUUUGGAAGGGCUGUCACCAGCCAGAGGAGAUGUUCUUACGAUCGAGUUGGAGUCAAGGAAAACACCGGUUUCACGAGUUCUAUACCGAUUAGCGCCAGCAGAGAUGGCUGAGCUGAAGGAACAUAUGGAAGAUUCAUCAGACAAGAGAUUUAUCAGGCCGAGUAAUUCACCGUGGGAAGCACCAGUGUUGUUUGUAAAGAAAAAAAAAUGAUGGGAGUUUCAGGCUUUGUAUCGACUACAUAGACUUGAACAUGGUAAGUGGUAACCAUCAUAUCGAUGAGUUGUUGAAUUAGCUGCAUGAAGGUUCAUGGUUCUCGAAAGGUGUCUUGGCAUCAGGACAUCAUCAUAUUGCUAUAGUUGAGGAGUAUGUACGGAAUAUGGGUUUCAGUAUACGUUAUGGAUAUUAUGAGUUUUGGUGACAUCAUUUCGGAUCGACGAAAGCACCGAUAGCAUUUGAGAAGCUAAUAAAUGAUGUCUUUCGCGAACACUUGGACAAGUGCGCGAUUGUACUCAUCGACGACCCCAUUGAGUUAUUCUUGGAGUAGAGGGAGCAUGAGGAGCAUUUGCGGAUUUUAUAUUAAUGCAUCAGGAUCAAGACAUUCCAUAUUCAUUGCAUCAGUUAAGACCUCACGAGACCCACUACCCUAUUCAUGAUUCAUAGUGGCUGCAGUGGUAUUUGUGUUAUAGUUUUGGAGAUUGUAAUUGUACAGGAAGAAAGUUCAGAUUCUCUGGGAUCAUUGGAGUCCGAAAUCUAUCUUCAUUCAUUAAAACUUGUACUUGGACAGUGCAGUUGGAUUGAGUUGGUAGCAGGCUACAAUUGGAUAUUGCAUACCAUAUGGUAAAGACAAUCAGGUAACAAAUGCCUUGGGUAGGCACAUGAGCGACGUAUCAGGAACCAAAGAGGUUCAUGAUUUAUUGGGAUAUUUGCUAGUCUCAGAUUGUGUGUCAUUACUGUCGAUGGAGAGACAGAUGGCCUUGGGACUUUGGAGCAUGCAGUUUUGCUAUGGAGGAUACGCCAAGCGUAUGUUAGCGUUAUGGCUUUGUAAGACGAUCGAGAUUGGGAGUAUUGGAUAUCAUAAGUGUUGAGCGGGAUGUACCUGUACCAAAACCGAGUUGUGUGUUUGACGAUAAGCUGUUAAGAAAAGGGAUCUUACAGCAAAUACAUCACUCGUGUUUCUCUACCCAUCGGGAACACGAACGGGUACAACGAUAUGAAGUGUUAACUAUAAUUGGUCUAGUAUGAAGAGAGUUGUAGCUUCAUUUCGUCACAGUGUCAGACAUGUCAGAUGGCUAUGUCAGAGGAUCAGUUAUCUAUUAUGUUAUUUUUGAGCUUGCUUUUGCCGAAGUGGAAAUGAUGCAUGGUGAUUAUGGACGUUGUUAUUGGAUUUUAAAUCACUAUAUUUGGAAAGGAUGCCACAUGGGUAGUCAUGGAUAGACUUACCAAGUCAGCCUAUUUCCUAAGUAAUUCAGAAACAGUCAGAGCUAAUAAAUUGGAGCAUAUCUUGAUUUUGGAAGGUUUCAUUGAUGUCAACAUUGUAUCGGAUUGGGAUUCGAAGUUCACUACAUUUUUGGAGUCAUUCAGAAGGAACUUGGGACAAAGAUCCACAGGAAUACAACUUAUUAUCAGCAUACAGAUGGUUAGUCAAAGAGAACUAUUCAUGCUUAAAGGACAUGCUCAGAUUUGCGUCUUAUAGUGGGAUGGAAGAUCGGAAAGCAUUACAUCUAGCAGAGUUUACCUACAACCACAACUAUAGUUCAAGCAUUGAGAUGACACCGUAUACCACUUUGUUGGACCAAAGUGAGGGAGUGACAUGAAUUAGAACUAUCAAUUGUUCAAGAGAUGGUAUAGCAAAUAGACAUGCUCAAGGAUUGGCUUUGGGAAGCCCACGACGGAAGAGGAUUUAUGCAGCAAAGCGCCGUAAGGAUUUGGAGUUACAUAUGAAUGAUCUAGUGUACCUGAAAAUAAUGACAUUUUAGGGAGGACUCAAGGCUCAUGAGCUGAAGCAACUAGAACCGAGGUACAUUGGACUGUAUCCUCUAGUGGAACGAAUUGGAGCAGUUGAUUGGAGUUAUUUUAUCAGCAGUGUAUCAAACUUUCAUGGUGUGAUCUAAGUGAGAUCAAAUGCAUAUGAGAAUUGAUUAUUCAGAUGAGGUAUUGGACAGUCGGCUCAUUAUUUGAAUUCGAGGACGAAUUUCUUAUUAGUGGGGGAGAAUUGUAACGACCCGGUUUUGUGAACCGAAGCUGGUUUAAGCUUUCUUUAAUUAUUUGUGAUUAAACCAAACAUUUCCCCAAACCAAGUCUUAUAUAUAUGAUCGUACAUAUCCUCUUCCCUAAUUGAAAAGCCCUAGCCGUAAGAAACCAUCUCCAUCUUCACGAUCUCUCACUCUUUGGUUGCAGCCAUGUAAGAGGAGCUCUGCCAUUGUUGACGCAUCACCACCGUAUCUUUUCUCUGUUGUUAAUGGCUUACCAUCUCUAUGAUUCAAUCUCCACGGAAGAACACAGAUGUAAUCACCAUAUUGGAACUAGUUGGCUACGUUACGAGACGGAGAGAGAACGUGACCAUAAGCCGGCGCCACCGCCAUGAUCAUCACCAACCACCACGGAGUUGUGCCCCUGUGAACCUAAACCCACCAGACGUGUGACCUAUAGCACCAGAGAUACUUUUGCGCAGCAGAGAUUUCUUCAUGUCUUAAGCUGGGAGAAGAGAUUGAUGCAUCAGACCCAUGGCUGAGGAGUUGUUUUGCGAGAGGUUUCUAAUACGAUCCAGGGGGUGCUAGGCAACGAGUCAUGGCUCUUUGGAUAGAUCUCGUUUCCAGAAAUCUGCAGAAACAAACGGAAUCAAGAUCAGAGUUGUACAGCAAAAGUUAUUGACAUGCUUCUUGGACAAGAAUAAGCUUAAGCUGUUGGAAUGCUGAAACAGUUCCGACCAGUGUCAGAGUAAAGGCGAAACGGUGAACCUUAACAAAGGCUUUCAGUCUGGGACUUUUACAGUAAGUAUUUAACUCUUUCAGUUAUCAUCUCCAACAGACGGAUUGUCAUUCCAAGUUAUUUUCUGAGAGUUAAGCUUGUUUUCGUGAGAGGUGUUGGUGCAGUCUACGUUUUCGACCAGUCUGGAGACGAAGCUAAUUUGAUUAAUCAGAUGGUGUCCGAUCGGAGUAAAACCGGUGGCUACGGAUAUAGAACAUCUAGGGCUACAUUCGGACCGGAGGGAUUGAAAAGUUAACGGUCAGUUCUUGAGAUAUGCAUCUGUUUUCUCUAGUGUUCAGUUUUGGCAGAAUCAUAAUACUCAUUUAUUUUCAGACUUUCGGAGUUGCUGUGAUAGAGCCAUCAAGGGCUAUUCUGUGCUUCUCAGGUUCUUUAGAACCCGUGGCAAAGGUAAGGGUCUAUGCCGUAAAUCAUGUACCAGUGUAGAAUUCUCCCUAUGUUAGUUUAGAUUUCGAAUCAUGAUCCGUCUGUUUGAAUUGAAUCUGUUUGAGUCUUGAUUGUUAGUUAGUCAUUCAUUGUAAAUUGGAACUAGGGGUCUAGAGGAUUCAACCGUUGGUUUGAUUGUGUGAUGUUAAGAAAUGCGAUAUAUAUGUAUGUAUACAUAGUUAUGAGUAGGGACUAUGUGAGUGGGCGGGGGUCCAGAGAUGUCUGGACUAGCGACGCAGCUUUGGAGGGCGGGGGCUCAGAGACGUCUGGGCUAGCGACGCAAAUUGUGUGGGGCGUGGGUGCAGAGACGUUUGCAUUCGACGCAGCUUUGGAGGGCGGGGGUACAGAGACAGACUGUACUAGCGACGCAGCGUAUGUAUAUAUAUAUCCGUAUGAGGAGAUGCGGGGUGUAUGGACUAGCUAUAUGCUAUCAUCGCAUUGCUUGUGUUGUGUGAUGCUUUAGGCGUUUUGUUUGUUCAUGUUAGAGCUAAACUUCCAUAGUGGGAGUUCUAUUACUCAAGUCAGUGGUUUGCGUGUUUAGCAUCCCCAUACCUCACGGAGUAACUCUCCUGUUGCUCAUCCCUCUUCUUCCCCUUGCAGGUGCGCUUGCCGCCGAGUGUUGGAUAUCUGGACGGUUUGGUGUCUUUAGGAUAAUUUAUUUAUUUCGGUUUUGAUUACUAAUUUAUACGAAUAUUAGAUUCGAUUUAUUUUGAUAUAUUUUUAUACUUCAAUUUAAAAAUAUAUUUCUUUGAAAAUUAUUUUAUUAAAUGUUAUGUUAUUUUGUUCGAUUUUGAAUAAUUCGGUUUGAUUCGAUAUUUCACCGUAAGUAACACGCCGUUCUCCAUACAGGAGGUGAUGGGUGUUAUAAUUUGGUAUCAGAGCGGGGUUCCGUCACGGCACUGACCCGAGAUGGCGAUUUGUUGGGACGUGGUUUCGACUCGGUUUUAAUUCGGUUUUUAAAGAUUUUUAAUUAUGGGGUUUUGGGAGUUUAAAAAAAAAGAAAAAUACAGCACCUUUCCGUUCAGAAACUUCUAACCCAAGUGUCUUUUUAUUGACGAUGAGUUUAUCAUCGUCAUCCGUUCUCUAGCUAACAGGGUUUCAGCCAGAUGUUCGACAGAUGGAUGAUGUCACAGCUCGACUGAUUGCUUAGGUGUGUAUCAAUUUCGUCAGCCGUGUUCAGAGAUUGUCUGCAUAUGGAUAUGCGACAUUGUUGCCACCACCCUAACUUCAAGCCAUCGCUCCACGAGUUUUUGUUAUUGGAGAUU
Molecule: long non-coding RNA, 6847 nt
Filed under: Brassica rapa (field mustard)
Lineage: Eukaryota; Viridiplantae; Streptophyta; Magnoliopsida; Brassicales; Brassicaceae
Description: long non-coding RNA (BRAP_LNC006876)
Source: RNAcentral